UAGGGAGGGUGCAAGCGUUACUCGGAAUCACUGGGCGUAAAGGGCGCGUAGGCGGCCUAGCAAGUCUGGUGUGAAAGCCCAGGGCUCAACCCUGGAAGGGCACUGGAAACUGUUAGGCUUGAGUUCCGGAGAGGAGGGGGGAAUUCCCGGUGUAGCGGUGAAAUGCGUAGAUAUCGGGAGGAAUACCGGUGGCGAAGGCGUCCCUCUGGUCGGAAACUGACGCUGAGGCGCGAAAGCGUGGGGAGCAAACAGG
Molecule: ribosomal RNA, 253 nt
Filed under: uncultured bacterium
Lineage: Bacteria
Description: partial 16S ribosomal RNA
Rfam family: Bacterial small subunit ribosomal RNA
Source: RNAcentral